CCUGCCCAGUGGUCUAACAUCCCAAAGCCAAGCUUCAAGCAACUGUUACACCUUUGCCCAUGGGGCCGAACAGCACCACCUACACUUCCUCUCUCCCCCUUCGGCUGGAGCUGAAGCUGCACACUUCCUCCUGAGAAAACAGUGCUUUAGCAGAAUAGCCCCAUCUACUUCUCUCAGUUAUGGCUGUGCCCUGCCUCUAAGGUCCUGAAUUGAAAAGUGUACUGCCUCUUGAGGAAACAGUGCCUUGGCAGAGACCCACAUCUCAGGGAAAUAGUGCCUGGCAGCCCAGAACAGCCACCCUCCAUGCCUGAGCCUGAGCUGAAGUGGCACACAAACCCCUAGGGGAUUGGUGCCCUGGAACCUGAGAAGCUCAGGGCUGAGCUGAUGUAGUACCCCAUGUUCCAGGGAAACAUGGCAGUGGCUGAGCUGAGACACUCUAGCCUACAGGUUAAACUACUCUAAUACCUUGCUUUCCUGGCAUUAGACUAGUCUCCUAGAGUCUGAGCUGCCAAGAAAGGCCUCUCUCCAGGGAGUGCAAUCAUCACUGUGCUGCUCCCCUGACCCCCAGGGCCCAAACAACAGAUGUGCUUGGGCACUAGGAAAGCUUGCUGCUGCACCUAGCCUCACAGAGUCUGGAAUACUACUGAGUCCGCCAUCCCGGAGUCACCACUACAUGUUGCCUCAUCCCCAGGGACCCAAGUUUCCACUGAGCUCUAUUGGACCAGAUUCCCAAAUUGCAGAUAUACCUUGCUCUCUGUACUCUAAACUCCAGAGCUCCUUUUCUUCCCUGGAGUUGGAUUCUACCCCCUCCCCACAGGGGUAGAAUCACAGGUAAAACCAAACUCUCUGGGUCCAAGCUUCUAGGGGUUUCCUCAGAGUUGCAGAUUCUGGCUCUGCAGGCAAAUUACAUCCAACCCUGCCAUAAACAGUGAACCUGCACCUCAAGACCCAGGUGCCACAAUAAGUGCAUGAGACUCUGUGAGAAAAUUGAAAGUAGGAGGACUUCAAGCACCCAUAAAGAAAGAAUUUUAAAAAUAACAAAAGAAAACAUUAAGUCACAUAUAAAGAAUCCCCAUUAGAGUAAUAGUAGAUUUAUCCUCAGAAACCUUACAGGGCAGGAGAGAAAGAAAUGACAUAUUCAAAGUACUGAAAGAAAAAAAAAGGCAGCCAAGAAUACUAUACCCAGUAAAUCUAUUCUUCAGAAAUAAGGGAGAGCCAGGUUUGGUGACAUAUGCCUGAAGUCCCAACUACUCAGGAGGCUGAGGUGGGAAGAUUGUUUGAGCCUAGGAGUUCAGAUCAGCCUGAACAACACAGGGAGACCUCAUCUCAAAAAAAGAAAAAAAAAA
This 1346-nucleotide long non-coding RNA is filed under the name Macaca fascicularis (crab-eating macaque). RNAcentral's name for it is "lncRNA (ENSMFAG00000063043.1)". The record is from RNAcentral. Lineage: Eukaryota; Metazoa; Chordata; Mammalia; Primates; Cercopithecidae.